CCUACGGGAGGCAGCAGUGGGGAAUAUUGCACAAUGGGGGAAACCCUGAUGCAGCAACGCCGCGUGAGUGAAGAAGUAUUUCGGUAUGUAAAGCUCUAUCAGCAGGGAAGAGAAUGACGGUACCUGACUAAGAAGCCCCGGCUAACUACGUGCCAGCAGCCGCGGUAAUACGUAGGGGGCAAGCGUUAUCCGGAUUUACUGGGUGUAAAGGGAGCGUAGACGGCUGGCCAAGUCUGAAGUGAAAGCCCGGGGCUUAACCCCGGAACGGCUUUGGAAACUGGCCGGCUGGAGUGCGGGAGAGGCAGGCGGAAUUCCUGGUGUAGCGGUGAAAUGCGUAGAUAUCAGGAGGAACACCGGUGGCGAAGGCGGCCUGCUGGACAGUAACUGACGUUGAGGCACGAAAGCGUGGGGAGCAAACAGGAUUAGAUACCCGGGUAGUC
This 440-nucleotide ribosomal RNA is filed under the name uncultured bacterium. RNAcentral's name for it is "partial 16S ribosomal RNA". It matches the Rfam family "Bacterial small subunit ribosomal RNA", at positions 338 to 795 of the family's 1533-position model. The record is from RNAcentral.